Molecule: long non-coding RNA, 1012 nt
Filed under: Parus major (Great Tit)
Lineage: Eukaryota; Metazoa; Chordata; Aves; Passeriformes; Paridae
Description: lncRNA (ENSPMJG00000002413.1)
Source: RNAcentral
CCCGGGGCUGUGGAAGGUUCCGGGCUCUUCCCGGGGAUCUCCCGGGGUUCCCGGGGAUCUCACAGGGUUCCUGGGGAUCUCAGGAUUCCCGGUUAUCCCGGUUUUCCCGCAGGGUUCCCGGGGAUCUCACAGGGCUCCUGGGGAUCUCAGGAUUCCCGGGGAUCUCAGGAUUCCCGGUGUUCCCGGUUUUCCCGCAGGAUUCCUGGGAUGUGGCAGGGUUCCCGGUGAUCUCAGGAUUCCCGGUUAUCCCAGUUUUCUGCAGGAUUCCCGGGAUGUGGCAGGGUUCCCGGUGAUCCCGGUGUUCCCGGUGAUCUCUCAGGAUUCCCGGUUAUCCCGGUUUUCCCGCAGGGUUCCCGGGAUGUGGCAGGGUUCCCGGUGUUCCCGGUGAUCUCUCAGGAUUCCCGGUUAUCCCGGUGUUCCCGGUGAUCUCUCAGGAUUCCCGGUUAUCCCGGUAUUCCCGGUGAUCUCUCAGGGUUCCCGGUGAUCUCUCAGGGUUCCCGCUGAUCUCUCAGGAUUCCCGCUGAUCCCGGUAUUCCCGGUUUUCCCGCAGGAUUCCCGGGAUGUGGCAGGGUUCCCGGUUAUCCCGGUUAUCCCGGUGAUCUCUCAGGAUUCCCGGUAUUCCCGGUUUCCCGCAGGGUUCCCGGGAUGUGGCAGGGUUCCCAGUGAUCCCGGUUAUCCCGGUGAUCUCUCAGGAUUCCCGGUAUUCCCGGUUUUCCCGCAGGGUUCCCGGGAUGUGGCAGGGUUCCCGGUGAUCUCUCAGGAUUCCCGGUAUUCCCGGUUUCCCGCAGGAUUCCCGGGAUGUGGCAGGGUUCCCGGUGGUCCCGGUUAUCCCGGUGAUCUCUCAGGAUUCCCGGUUUUCCCGCAGGAUUCCCGGGAUGUGGCACGAGGCGCGGAAGCACGAGCGGAAGCUGCGGGGGAUGAUGGUGGAUUACAAGAAACGCGCCGAGCGCCGCCGCGAGUACUACGAGAAAAUCGUGAGCCACACAACCAGUCUGGGCCAGUCUGGGCGUCC